RNAcentral lists this unclassified non-coding RNA (327 nucleotides) under soil metagenome. Its description in RNAcentral is "partial contains 5.8S ribosomal RNA, internal transcribed spacer 2, and large subunit ribosomal RNA". The stretch from base 1 to 120 matches the Rfam family "5.8S ribosomal RNA", at positions 35 to 154 of the family's 154-position model. The record is from RNAcentral.
GAUGAAGAACGUAGCGAAAUGCGAUAAGUAAUGUGAAUUGCAGAAUUCAGUGAAUCAUCGAAUCUUUGAACGCACAUUGCGCCCCCUGGCAUUCCGGGGGGCAUGCCUGUCCGAGCGUCAUUACAACCCUCAAGCUCAGCUUGGUGUUGGGCCCCGCCGCCCCGGCGGGCCCUAAAGUCAGUGGCGGUGCCGUCCGGCUCCGAGCGUAGUAAUUCUUCUCGCUCUGGAGGUCCGGUCGCGUGCUCGCCAGCAACCCCCAAUUUUUUUCAGGUUGACCUCGGAUCAGGUAGGGAUACCCGCUGAACUUAAGCAUAUCAAUGCGGAGGA